CGUUUUUUAUGUAAAGUAAUAUGACGGGAGCUUCAUCUCUCCAACAUAAACCCCGUUCCUGGUGUUGAUCCGAGAAGAUAAAUGUAAAAAUGGAGAGCUACGUGACUUGAAACACGUAACAGAUCGAGCUCCAACAGUUUAAUUACGCGUCCUGAUGUUGCGCUUUAAAGCCGACGGAUCAAACGGCCGUCGCCGUUCCUCUCGUCCCUCUAAUCCACGCAUGAAAGGCGAACAUUGCACUUAAAACACGUCUAAAAUGUCACUUCCUCACCUCGCCGAGCAUCGCUGAUACGCGCCGAUAACUCCAGCGUAGCUGUGAUACGGAUCUUUAAUUAAAUUUCCACUGUCUAAAAACUCAUCUCUGAUGCUCUCUUAAUAAGGUUUAAUCUAUAAUUAUGUCAAUAAAUAUAUUCAUAUAUAAUACACAUGAUCGUUUAUCAAAUCUUAGAAAUAUCUGACACGUUUUUACGCUGAUGUUUUUGUCGUUAAAAUUGUAACUGUAAAAAAAAAAAAUCGCAUUUUUAAUUAAAAGUUCGUUAAAAUAAUGCUUUGAUUAUGGGUUGUUGUUUGUUUUGCAUUUCCGCGUCAUUUCGAGAGAGAAAAAACAACAACAGGAGGUUAUUGCUAGGUUAAAGCUAAUAAAGCUAACGACUUUUGUUAGCUAACUCCACAUUUAACUUAGCAAUUUGAAUUUUUUUUUUAAAUGCUAGGCGUACAGUUAAACUUCCCACGAUGGCACUUGUGAGCGUAGCGUGUUAGCUGUAUUUAUGCUAGCACUUUACAUGUAGUAUAUGGGUUGUUGUUUUUUUUUAAACUUUUGCUAGCACAUUCAUAUUUGUAACUUUUUGUUUAUAGUCUUUUGUGCUAAUCGCAUGCUAGCUAUACGAUUUCAUGUCAGGAUUUUUUUUUUUGUACUUUCACUACGUUUGCUUCGAGCUUGAUAACGACAUUCAUUCCUUCACGAGUUUCAUUUGGUUUCAGGUUAUACGCCUGCUGAGAUUCGGUUUAAAAUUAGCAGCAGUUUCGUUCGGCUAGUAGCUUCCUGACGCGAUUCCCUUUGCGCUAGUAAUUUGCUAGCUACCUUUAAUUGCUAGCAGCAGAAUGUUUUUGGGUUGUUUUUUGGGGGGUUUUUUUGCUAGUAGCUGCUCAUAAUAUACUUUACUUUGUGCUUGUAGUGUUCUCGCUGUGUUUUAUUUGACCUUUAUUUAUUAUUCAAUCUAUUUACUCUAGGAAGAUUGUUCUAGAUACGUAUGCUAGUAAUGGCACGGUUUUGUUUGUGUAGUGCUAAUUAUUAGUUUUAUUAUUUUUACUGGAUAAUCUAGUGUUUUAAAUGAUUUUUUCCGAGGUGACUGUACUGUUACAGUUAGCAUAGCACUUCAUUACGAGUUUCUGGUCAGUCCUGCGCAGGCUGCCCGGGUUGUGUCGGUGAUUGGGUUACGUUGUAGGUGACACUAAGCUCGGUUAGUCAUCGCGGUGACCUCUUCCUCCUCCUCCUCCUCCUCCUCGUAAGCAGAGUAGCCUAGCAGGAAUAAUUUAUAAGCAGCACCUCCGCACUUCAAUUUAGCUUCAUCUCCUGAGCAGGGCCCCAGGGCUCGACUCAACAAAGCAACAACGGCCGCUGAACUUUUGAUCCGAUGAAUUCUUAAUGACAGAUUUGAUUACAAACACGGCCUCGUAUUAGAUGAGUUCAGUGUCUGGCUGCGAAAAGGGCGACCGCCAGCAACGUGGCACAGACAUGACACUGGCAUUUCUGCUGUUAGCAUCACGCUAAUCACUAAUCACUUCACACAAAGGCACUUGCUAACAUUUACAUCAGACCUGAAUUCACACGUACAGUUAGCUGUUUUAUUAUUAUUUUUUAAACCACCACCGCAAGGUUUCAAGCUAAUUAUUUUAACACGUCAAUCAAUUCGCACUCAGCCAGCUCAUCUUUAACGUACCGUUUCCUAUUGUGCCUCAUGCUAAUCGCUAAUCACUUCACACAUUUCUACCAGACACUGAGAAAUCCGCAUAAAAUCGUGCUAAUCGCUAAUCACAGCCGUUAUGAAAACCACACCAAGAUGCUUUUUUUUUUUAAAAACAAACAGUUCUUUUUGCUCUUUUUCACUUCGCUAGUCGCUAACAACCAUGACGUAUUUAUAACUAAUUCUUUACCUUUAGAGUCCAACCCAUUGCUCCAGGUUCAUGCUAACUGCUAAUCAUUUCCCUCUCAGCUGUGAUUAAAAAUCUAUUAAGAGUUACAAUCCAAACCGUUGCGCUAAUCACUCUAAUCUCCUCACACUUAUCUGUCAUUCAUUAACAUUUAUAGGUCGACCCCUUGCUAAGCGCUAAUCGUUUCACUAGCUGUUAUAUAAAAAAAAAGACACCAUAUUAAUGAUCAAUUUAACUUUAAAGUCCAAACCAUCAUGCUAAUCGAUCAUGCUAAGCGCUAACCACCUCACACUCUGCUGUUAUGAGAAACAUCACGUUUGAGGCUAAUUCUUUCACAUUUAAAGUCUGACCCUUUGCUAAUCGCUAAUCCUUUAAUUUCACUGACUAGCUGUUAUUUAAAACACACACACACACACACACACACACACACACACACACACACACACAUACAUACCUACCGAGCUAAUGAUAAAUUUCUGCUGUUCUAUAACAAAUCAGACCAUCUUCAAAACUAAUUCUUUAACAUGUAUAGUCCAACUCUUUGCUAAUCGCUAAUCACUUCACCCUUGAUUAGCUGUUAUAGAAACUGCCCCAUGUUUAAGGCUAAUUCUUUACCACAGCCCAAACUUUUACCCAGCCUCAUGCUAACAAUAUAACCCUCAACUAGCUGUUCUAAAAAAAAAAAAAUGUUUAUCCCACCAUGUUUAAGGCUAAUUCUUUAACAUUUAGAGCUCAAGCCCUUGCUAAUCGCUAAUCACGUCACGCUCAAAAAUCUGUUAUGAAAACUACUCCAUGUUUGUUUGAUUUUUAAGUAUAAACAUUUAGAGUCCACACCAUUGUGCUAAUCUCUUAGCAUGAUUGCUAAUCCCUUCAGACUAAGUUGUUAUUAAACAAAAAAACACUCCAUGUUUAUAGUAUUUUAUUUGAACAUUUAAAACUCCAACCUAUAGCUAAUAUUUUUAAUAAUAUUAACCAAGUUAUUGAGUUUGUUGUGUUGAUUUUAUUUGGUUUUUGUUGCAGUGGUGAUGACAAACAAAGGCUGAAAAUGUCCUUAGUUAGCCGUGUUAGUUGGAUUAGCCAAUGAGGCGGCUCCUGUAAUUGGCUCGUUAGCUUUGCUGUGCAUCCAGCUGUGACGAGAUCUACUGAUGUAGGAUGUGUUGGGCAAGCAAGGCACUGGGCGAGUUAGCAACUUAACACUCCUUCAUCUUGGAUGAUGUGAUGUGAUUACAGAGGUGACGGGGAACCGGAGGCUCGGAAAGAGUCGGAGGAAACUUCUCGAGUGGAGAAAGUAAGAAGGAAAGAAAGAAAGAACCGAAGAAAAGGAAGGUAAAAACAAAGUAAUGAAUAAAUGGGUCAAGAAGAAAAGAAUGAAGGAAAAAAACAAGAACAAAUAAAUGAAUGAGAGAAUUUUAAAGCCUUGACCAAAAAUGUUUCAAUAUAUAUCAAUGUAUAUCAACAUUUUUAUCUUUUUUUUUUUUACAAAUGUCAGAAAUAAAAGAAGGACAGAUUUGGGGGGGAAAUACAGAAAGAAAGAAAGAAAGAAGCUGCUGAUUGGUCGGCUGCUGUAGAUGAUUAGUUAUUAUCAGUUGAAAUUCAAUUUUUGUUCAAUUCUUUAACUUCUGAAUAAUUAAAACUUUUAUAACCUUUCUAUGUCUUUCUUUCCUUCACAGUUCGUUUCUUUCUGUCAUCUCCAGCAACCAUUACUGUGUAGUGUUUAUUAAAUAUUAUAAACUUCACUAAAGCGCCCCUUUAACCACGGACAAGAAGGACGGGAAGAAAAAAGAAAGAAGCCAGGACAUACUUUAAAAAAAAAAAAAAAAAAAGAUGAUUUUAUUACGGUUUAUAGAAUUAAAAAUAGACUUAAGAAAGUAAAUUGUCCUAGUAAUGAUCAACCGUGUCUCCAGGGUACUUUUGUCAGUGUGUGUGUGUGUGCGAGGGUGAAGUUAACGUGGUGGUGAAAGUUCUGAUCCAUCAGCGGCUCAGCGGGUCAGGGGCGUGUGUGAGAUGGGUCGUUCUUCACCGUGGACAGAAACCCACUGAGACUCCCAUAUGGAGAACCGUCUGAGCCAAAAGCCCACGAGAGACGGAUGUCCACGUAUGAGAUGAGCACUCCUCACACGCCGUGACAGGUCACACACACACACACACACACACACACACACAGCAUAGAGCAGAGAGUGGGAUGGAAAAUCCUCUGGGUAUGACUUCAUUACUGAAAUAAAAUCAUUAAAAAUAAUACAGAAUGUGUAUAAACAUUAAUAAAUAAAAAUAAUAAAAUGCAUGAAUAAAUGAUCAAUAUGAAGC
Molecule: long non-coding RNA, 4455 nt
Organism: Ictalurus punctatus (channel catfish)
Lineage: Eukaryota; Metazoa; Chordata; Actinopteri; Siluriformes; Ictaluridae
Source: Ensembl